This is a long non-coding RNA of Mustela erminea (ermine), 109 nucleotides long. RefSeq lists it as uncharacterized. The record is from RefSeq and is a predicted model, not a curated record. Lineage: Eukaryota; Metazoa; Chordata; Mammalia; Carnivora; Mustelidae. The transcript is spliced from 3 exons.
UAAGAAAUAACAACUAAGGAGUUUUCAGAGAGGGCCACCGCAGGAGCCUUCUUUAGCUGGGGUCCCUCUAGACCUGAGGCCCAAACUGCAAGGAGCCAGCUUUCCAGAG